RNAcentral lists this ribosomal RNA (253 nucleotides) under uncultured bacterium. RNAcentral describes it as "partial 16S ribosomal RNA". It matches the Rfam family "Bacterial small subunit ribosomal RNA", at positions 524 to 776 of the family's 1533-position model. The record is from RNAcentral.
UACGUAGGGGGCAAGCGUUAUCCGGAUUUACUGGGUGUAAAGGGAGCGUAGACGGCAGUGCAAGUCCGGAGUGAAAGCCCGGGGCUCAACCCUGGGACUGCUCUGGGAACUGUAAAGCUGGAGUGCGGGAGGGGCAGGCGGAAUUCCUGGUGUAGCGGUGAAAUGCGUAGAUAUCAGGAGGAACACCGGCGGCGAAGGCGGCCUGCUGGACCGUAACUGACGUUGAGGCUCGAAAGCGUGGGGAGCAAACAGG